UUUUGGAGUUGCACUAUUGCCAGUUUAUUGCUUUGCCAAACCUUACCUCCUUAUGAAGUUGUUGAAUGCCAAUUAGGAAAAAAUGAAUCUUCUAUAUUUUACACCAAGAUAUGAUCAAUAGAUAGUUGUCUUCCUUUCUAAUGCAAUAGUUACUGCAACUCUGAAUAUCAUGGCCAGAGGCGGACCUACAGAGGCGCAAGGAGGUGCAGUUGCACCUCCCCUUGUCGAAAAUCCUGUGAAGAGGCUGGAUUAUGCACCUCUGCUGAUCCCAAGAUUCUGCAUCUAAGGUGUGUUGCAAGGGGUUUCAAAAUGAGGAAGAUGACUUGGGUUUUUUGUUUUCAAUAUUUUGAUGCACAAACGACGUCGUCUUUGUUAUCCUCCAGCUCAAAAGGCGUUUAAUGAAACGGGGAGUAUUGAUUGAAGCAAUUCUGACUUUCGGCAAAUUACCAC
Molecule: long non-coding RNA, 450 nt
Filed under: Prunus dulcis (almond)
Lineage: Eukaryota; Viridiplantae; Streptophyta; Magnoliopsida; Rosales; Rosaceae
Description: sRNA ncRNA
Source: RNAcentral